RNAcentral lists this ribosomal RNA (575 nucleotides) under Bacillus pumilus. Its description in RNAcentral is "bacterial SSU rRNA". It matches the Rfam family "Bacterial small subunit ribosomal RNA", at positions 547 to 1124 of the family's 1533-position model. Lineage: Bacteria; Bacillati; Bacillota; Bacilli; Caryophanales; Bacillaceae. The record is from RNAcentral.
GAUAUUGGGCGUAAGGGCUCGCAGGCGGUUUCUUAAGUCUGAUGUGAAAGCCCCCGGCUCAACCGGGGAGGGUCAUUGGAAACUGGGAAACUUGAGUGCAGAAGAGGAGAGUGGAAUUCCACGUGUAGCGGUGAAAUGCGUAGAGAUGUGGAGGAACACCAGUGGCGAAGGCGACUCUCUGGUCUGUAACUGACGCUGAGGAGCGAAAGCGUGGGGAGCGAACAGGAUUAGAUACCCUGGUAGUCCACGCCGUAAACGAUGAGUGCUAAGUGUUAGGGGGUUUCCGCCCCUUAGUGCUGCAGCUAACGCAUUAAGCACUCCGCCUGGGGAGUACGGUCGCAAGACUGAAACUCAAAGGAAUUGACGGGGGCCCGCACAAGCGGUGGAGCAUGUGGUUUAAUUCGAAGCAACGCGAAGAACCUUACCAGGUCUUGACAUCCUCUGACAACCCUAGAGAUAGGGCUUUCCCUUCGGGGACAGAGUGACAGGUGCUGCAUGGUUGUCGUCAGCUCGUGUCGUGAGAUGUUGGGUUAAGUCCCGCAACGAGCGCAACCCUUGAUCUUAUUUGCCAGCAU